GUCCAUAUGAUCCACUCUCAAGCACAAGUAGUGGAGGAUGGGGAGAUGCAUGGGACUAAUCCCUGAUGACAGCUGACGGAACGGUACAGAAGUUAAAUCCAAAUGCCGGAGAUGCCCCGGAAACACCGCUCUGUCCCACUCCCUCAUUGCGGCUUCACCCUUAUAAUCCCUUAGUUCCAGAUGCUGGAGUUUGUGGAGAUUGCCUAGUGAAUGCACAAGAUCUGACUGCACUAUCCCUUUCAAGUGACCGACACUAAUGUUGAGCAUCCUGAGUUCGCUUUGGUUGCCAACGUCCUUCAUAAAUUGCCGCUGGGACUCCUCAUCCAGGUUAUCAAUACGUAUACACAGGUACUCUAAUGACGUCACCUUCCUCAGGAUCAACCCAUCCGGCGCGCACGUAGAGAAGUUGCCACGUAGGCAGACCAACUGCGUUAACUGGCAAACGGCCGAUGGCAGUACCUGUAUGUAAGAACCUUGCAAGUCAAGUGUCUGUAGAAACUUCAGUUUUCCUAUUUCUUCCGGGAGCUGAUUAAUACCAGAUUCACCACCUUGUACAUAUCGUAGCCCAAGGUACCUCAAAUGAAGUAGAUUUCCAAGGUGCUUAAGACCCUGUCAGCCUGGCUUAGGCAUUUUGUAAUGCGCUACUGUUGGUGCUAGAAAUCGGUCAACCGGAUCCCAGCAGCCGACACACGACCCGGGAGAAUCUGCUUAGCUCCUGUUCGGGUGAAUGCCCUGGUGCGGUUCGCGCGGCGUGCCAGCCAAUCUGACCUGUUGAUUGGCAAGGAAAAACACGUGUCAAAUUCAGUAACUACGAUCGGCUAAGUUUCCGAUCGGGAAAGCUUAUCGGCAGAUCAACCGAUUUACUGUAGUAGAGAAAUCGGCUACAAGACAGCACGAUCCCCGUAGCCUUGUAGAUAGAAAAAUAUUAAAGUAAUCGGUACAAGGUACGUAGUAACAGCACUAGGAAAAGAUCUAAUCGGCAACAGAUGGAUCUAGUAACGGAAGGUAAUGAAAGCCGAUACUACCGAUUCCUAGCGGGAUAACUGGUGAUAAAAACUAGGAAAAUAGGCAAAAACCUAUGAAGCUAGUUAAUACCGAUAACUGAUGAAUAAAUCUAAACGAAACAACAGCGAUACGCCAGAAGUUAAAGCUUAGAAAUUACUCGAUAAACGGAACUUACAGAAUCGGCCGGAGAUCAAGAUGAUGCAGCCCUGCCAAUCCGCACGAACUCGUGAGAAGGAAAAAGUGAUGGCGAAGUCGCCUGCUCGAAAGUAAGUAUGAAGAAUAAAGUAACUUGUUGUAUUGAUUGAUUGUUGUUUACAGAUUUACAAAGGUAGCUAUUUAUAGCCCCGUACAAAUAAUCUUCUUUAACCGACUAGGACUCUAUCUCUAAUUCAAACAGAAAACAAAUAUCUACAAGCACAAUCCGUGCUAAACUAAUUACCCCACGCUUCGUGGGCUGAACUCCUCCUCAUCUUUCCACCUUCCCAAGCCCAUACAGGCCCACUUUAGUCCACUUUCCUGAUCGGCCGAUUUUUCAUCAGCGAAGGAUUGCCGAUUGGGAAUCUGACGUAUUCACUCUGAAGUGAAGUAAAAGCCACUUGACCGAUUCCGCACUGUAGCCCCUUUUGACCGAUUCCCAUCUGUAUUCUUUCGAUUUCUCUCUUCUUUGACGCCGAUUCUACUGAUGACGAAAUCCGGCGUCAACACAUGCCCCCCAGUUUCGGAGUAAAACAUAAUCCUUUACUUCGAAAUUCUUUACAACCUCUCCUCCGAAACGGCCGCAGUGAAAAUAUCCUUCCGUUUCGCGGUCUCCCGGCUGAUCAUCGCAAUUUUUGAAACGGGCGCCCACGACGGCCACUACCCCAAAAAACUCGACGCGCCGGCGCGGUGAAAAUUCCAAUUUUACCCUUCUUUCAGGCACCCUAUAAAUAUCAUUUCACCGCAACUCAUCUUCAAGCUCACACCUCUUUUCUAGCGCGCGCGCCUCCUUCUUUCUGCAAUCUUGCCAUCGAAGUCUUCCAGUUUCAGCUCCAAUCACUUCUCCCCCUUUCCCUUCAAUGGCGACUCCUUCCGGCAACUCCCCAGCACGCGAUGCCGCAGGAACAAUUCCUCCGGUGGAGGUAGCGACGGUCGUCACUUCCUCAACAAACGCAAGGGCUUCAUCAGAAAUCCCGAUGGCGAUUCCCUUCACAGCCCCAUCAUCUGCACCAACGUCGGCGGCUACGCCGAUUACUCAGAACUUCAUCCCGGAGGUAAAUACCGAAUCUUCUCCUUAUCGGCAAUAUUUUAGAUCUACUCCUUAUACUCCUAUGCCCUCUUUUCCUUUUUUAGGCGGUUAGAGAUAGAAUUACUAUUCACCUCACGGAUAGUCCCGGCCUUGUUUGUCUCGGUCCCAUGGGAAACCCAGAUCCAGCGAUUCUUAUAGAUUCGGAAACUGACCGGAUACCUUUCAAACGGUCCGAUAUGAACUUGAAUCAAUGGGCAAGUACUUUUAGAUCCUGGCCGAAUGAAACCCCUGGUUGGAGGGAAUGGUACCAACGGGUGGCCGCAUCAAGGAGCGUUUCAUGGGAUGAGCUUAAAAUCGGCCAAUGCAUCAACCUUUCUCUGUCGCAAAUGGAGAAAAAUGAGCCGCUGGUGAUGGCAGCUUCCUAUUUCUGGUCUGACGCCCUUAAUGCAUUUUUAUUUGGUCAUGGUCCUAUGACCCCCACUCUGGCCGAUGUAGUCCUCUUGACUGGCUUAGAUGUAUCCUCCCCUGACACACCUUUCCAACUUCUGAACGUUCCGUCGCAUCGGCUGGACACAAGAGGAAUCGGCGGCUGGAAGGGCUUCCUUAGUGAUAACAAGAAGACCGGUACUGUUGAUAACAGGGAGCACACCGCUUUCCUGUUAAUGUGGCUCGAAAAACACUUCUUCUGUGGAAGAGCCGCCGGCCCAACAACCAACACCCAACCUUUAGCCGAGGCACUGUCCAGAGGAAGCCGCAUUCCUCUCGGGAAACAUCUUCUGGGUGCCGUGUACCACAUGCUCCACCAAAUCGGCACAAAGCUUUCCAAAGGGGAACCAAUCGGCAAUCCAGGUGGGCCUUGGUGGUUCGUCAAUUUAUGGUUGAACCUCUAUAUGAGCAGAAUCACUCGGCAGCCAGUGGACCGUAUGACAUUUCCCAAUAUUGAAUCGGCAGAAGACCCCACCGAGCGUCGCCGAUGUAUGUCUUAUGGUGAAGCAGCGUCAGCUUUUCCAGGUUGUGCAUAUUCUGCUACAAAAGUAGCCGAAUACUUUCGGUGCUUUUACAACGGAUUCAAUGAGGAUGCUACCAUCUGGUUCCCAUACCAGCGACACAUCCCAGUCUUUGAGCUCCCCACCUGCUUUGACUCGACUUCUGGCCGGUUUGAUGAGGAUCUCUAUGAAGAAUUGAUCAAACCAGGACUUUUACCGGCCAACUUCUUCUCGGGGAAAAAUGCCCCCACAUAUGAGUUCUACAACCCAUCUACUGCUGCCCGGCAAUUCGGCAUGGGUCAACUGCCGAUACGGGUAUAUUUCGCUGGCCAAAUCAAGUUCAGAGAAGCGCUCAAAUCUGGCCUGGACUAUUGUCGGCUGCGAGACCGAAUUCCGGAUUCCAGUACGAUCAACUUGAAUGAAUGGCUAUUAUAUCCAUUUGCAACCCAGCCUUUCAAGCUUUGGUGGGCCGAAUGGAAGCAAUUCUUAUUCUGCAAUUCGGCAUCGGCGUAUUGCAACCUUCUGGAUCCAUCCAACAUUGACCCCAACGCCGAGGUAUUUCUGAUUACUGACUGUACUCUUUUCACCAUAAUUGAGCACUUAAUGAUUUCAUUUCUUCCUUAGGCUGGGAAUCAAGCCCCUCCCACGCACAGCCGCAGUGGCCGGCUAAUAGAAAGUUAUCCGUACACCACUUACCCUCUCAUCGGCUAUGACGCUCCAUCGGUCGAUGUGAUUACUGGCCGAUCGAAGAGAGUUCAGAAGAAAGUCGUCAAGAAAACCAGUCGCCGAGUUCGGGCUCGUACGGAAUCGGUGGACCCUCCUGUACCCGUAUCGGCAGAAGUCUCGACUGCACCGCCCCCGGCCAUACAAAGUGAUGACACUCAAGCCAUUACACAAGCCGGAGCGGCAGCCGCCUCACUAUUGCUGGAAGCUUUACAAGUGAGUUCAAGCUUUAUCUCUUCCGAUUUGUCAAUUCGGUAAUUACUCUUGUUAACUUUUCGUACUUCUUAGGGCUCUUCUAUGGAAAUACCACAGUCAGCAACAACUCGACCGGAGGCCAACACGCCCCUGCCUUCAUCCGUUGAGGUACAGUACUUGUCUUAUGGACUUCCUUCGGGUAUUUGCAUAACACCUUUAACCGAUCCUUCGACGCAGACCAUCGGCACACCAAGCGUUUCUCGACAACUGAUUCCUUCCCAGGGAGCCGGUCCGAGCACCGUGCCGAUUGUCGUAGAGUCUUCUUCAUCGGAUGAACCCAUGACUCAGGCCACUGAACAAGGUACAACGACUCUACAAGCGCAGCACGAGGAAAUCCGUUCUAAGAUGGUAAGUUUUUGAACCAGCUUCACCAGCCGAUUUACUCUGCCCCCCUGCCGAUUUACCCUUUUUUCUUUAUUCUUUUCAGGAACAGGACUCUCCCAACAACAGUCUCUUCUCUUUCGCGGUCGCUCUCUCUGAUGAUGAGGAGACUUCUUCUCGCCAAGUCGCCUUAAGCUCCGUCCCUGACGACAUCCGGGCUAAGCUUAUCAACAUCCGAUCCCUCCUUCAAGGGGAUAUCGGCCGAUUGGUAGAAGAUGCUUCGCCGAUUCGGCAGCUUUUUAGUGACGUCAGCGGACGCGUACCAGAGGAAGCGGAAGAGGCGUUGGCACCGGCGGCUUUUAUUGAGUCCAUGAGGAUUCCCAUUUUUAGAGCCCUUCGUCAUAUGGCCGAUCGCGCGAAACUGGCCAAGAUCCGUGAAGAUGAAAAUGCUUUCAAGCACCAGGCUCAAGAAGCGAAUCGGUGGAUCCAUGUCUUGGAAGAUUCACGGCCGGCGAUCAUUAGUGAAAUAGAUCGCCUCAAGCGACGGAGGGCGGACCUUGCCAAAGAGAUGGAACAAGUGACCAAGGCCAUCAGCGCCGAAGAGAGCAGACUUCAAGAAUUACCUUCGGCUAUUGCCGAUUUGACACGGGAGAGGCAGCGUCUUGCUCAGGAGGCUCUGAGGCUCCACCGCACCGCCUCAGAAGUCCCUGGAUCGGUAGAAGAAGACCAACGGGUUCUUGACUCUGCCGAUCAGAUCAGACGUCGGGCCGUCACGGCUAUCGAUACCCUUUUGGGUAAUCUGUAAAACACUGACCGUUUUGUACGAACAUUUACUGCCGCUUUUGACUGACCCUUCGUGAUCCCUUCUAUUUACUGCCUUCCUUAUUACCGAUGGGACGUGGCCUCAUCAGAUUUUACUGUAUCCCCCCAUAAAUAUCGACCCCGGCGCUUCCUCUCCGAUAACACUGAUUUGGCUUCUAUCUCAUUUCUCCCCUUCCUCUCAUCGGCACAUCCACUUCGUUAUGGCUUCAUCGUCGUCUUCUUCCGUCAACCAGGUGACGCUUCGCCUUCUCCUUUCAGAUCUUAGGAAGUGAACGUGCUAACUCGUUUCCUCUCUGUUUCAGCCUCAACGCCUUAGCCCAGAACUUGUGCGCGCCAUCGAGUGCCUACAUUCCGAAGACCCUCUGACCCCGGAGGACAAAGCUUUGAUCUUAGCUCAUCGGGCGGAGCUUCAAGAUCAUGUCACCGCAGACGCUCGAGUGGUCCUGGAGGCCGUGGUGAACGAGCACCAUCAUAUGCUUCGAGCCAUGAGGGGUCGUCGCCGCAACGUUCUUGAUGGUGACAUCACCUCAUCGACCUGCGCGAUCCUGGAUUUCCUGGAGAGGAACGGGAAUCCGCGGCUUCCUGCCGAUAUGGCUCGUCCGUUCCCUCGGAACCUGCGGCCUUCUACUGACAGAGUCCGCAUGCUUCCUCGGCCCGUCGCUCUGGCGGCGGCGGAGGCCUCUCGUCUUCCCGUGGAUCUCCCUCGUCAAGUCGAAGCAGAGAGUUCAAUGAAGGCCAUGGAAGAAGAAUACAUUCGACUCAUGAUAGAGUUGGGUCGGGCUGAGAGGGAGCGUAAGAACAAGAACAAUUAGUUGCUGUAUUUUUUAUUCUAAGGGCGACUUAGUGUUUUGUCGGCCAUGUAAUCGGUCGCCCGUACCGAAUGUAAUCGGCCCGAAUGAAUGUAAUCGGCCAUUAUGAACGUAAUCGGCCAUUCUGGUCGAUUUCAUAUGAAUCUCAAAACCGAGUUGUGUCGGUCACAUUUGACUGUGUUUAUUCCUUUAGGCCCCGACCCAUAUACUCGGGUAAUAUCUUUUUAAAUAUCUCCCAUUCAGAGCCCUAGUGAAUUCUUCCCCCUCUGUUGUUUCCAAAAUAUACGCAUUCCCUGGAGCGCAUCUGCCGAUUCUAUACGGCCCUUCCCAGGUAGGAGACCAUUUGCCGAAUUUAGGAUCUUUCGACCCGAUCGGUAGUACCAACUUCCAUACCAAAUCUCCAGGGGAGAACUGUUUGACUUUAACCUUUUUAUCAUACCACCUGGCCACUCUCUUUUUAUUCUCUUCGAUGCUUAUUAGAGCUCUCAGUCGUUGGCCGGCCAAGUCAUCAAGUUCUUCCUUCAUCAGAGCCGAGUAGUCAUCGGCCGACAACUGGUCUUGCAGUGAAAUGCGCCUUGAUCCUGCCCUUGACUCCCAUGGAAGUACUGCAUCGUGACCGUAUACCAACUGGUAGGGGGAUAACUUGGUAGCCCCGUGACAGGCCAUUCUGUAUGCCCACAGGGCCUCGGUCAAACAUAGGUGCCACUUCUUAGGGCAUUCUUCAAUCUUCCUCUUGAUCAACUUGAUUAUUCCUUUGUUGGAGGAUUCUGCUUGACCAUUGGCUUGAGCGUAAUACGGAGACGAAUUCAGCAACUUGAUGCCCAUAUCGGUCGUAAAUUCCUCAAACUCUCCCGAUGUGAACAUUGUUCCUUGAUCAGUCGUUAUAGUUUGAGGGAUGCCGAAUCGGUAGACGAUGUGAUCCCUUACGAAAUCGGCCAUGAUAGCCGAAGUCACAUUUCUUAGUGGGAUUGCCUCCACCCAUUUGGUGAAAUAAUCGGUGGCGACCAGAAUAAAUUUGUGCCCCUUGCUCGAUGGCGGAUAAAUUUGGCCGAUGAGGUCUAUUCCCCACCCUCUGAACGGCCAUGGUUUGAUGAUGGGAUUCAUGGCCGAUGCGGGUGCACGCUGGACAUCUCCAAACUAUUGACACUCCUGACAACCCUUAUAAUAUUUGAAACAAUCUUCAAGGAUCGUAGGCCAAUAGUACCCAUUGUUUCUGAUCAUCCACUUCAUCUUAUGUGCUGAUUGAUGGGCUCCGCACACCCCUUCAUGGAUUUCUCCCAUUAGAGUCUUGGCUUCUUCUGUCCCAAGGCAUUUAAGAAGAACACCAUCGAUCGUUCGGUAGAACAGAUCAUCUUCGAGCAACACGUACUUGGUAGCAUGAAAACGCACUCGUCGCUCCACCUUUUUGGAAGGAUCUUUUAGGUAAUCGGCAAUUUCCUUACGCCAAUCGUCAGCUGCAAGUUCCAAGGCCAUGGCGCCCGGAAUCGGCCGAUACCCAGAUGCGUGUUGAGCGAGUUUGUUUGCUUCCUCGUUGUGAUCUCUUGGGACGUGCUCGAUUACUGCCGAUCUGAAUUCUUUCAAAAGCUGUAAGCAAUCUUCGUGAUGGAUUCGCAAUAUGUCGUCUUUGCACUCAGCUCUUCCGGUUAGUUGAUCCACAAUUAGCAUCGAAUCUCCGAAGACCUCGACAGAAUCGGCCUUGACUUCUCUCAAUAAUCGUAAGCCUUUUAAUACAGCUCUGUAUUCUGCUUGAUUGUUUGUGGCGGCGGUUUCUAUCGGCAGAGAAAAAUCAUAUCUUGCCCCCCGAGGCGAUAUGAUGACGAUGCCGAUUCCCGAUCCGGCUCCGCAUGAUGACCCAUCGAAAAACAACUGCCAAGGCGCUGGUUCCACGAAGGCGAUCUCUGGCCCACAGUGCUGGGCAACGAAAUCGGCCAUGACUUGACCCUUGACGGCUUUCGCCGAUUCGUAUCGUAGGUCAAAUUCUGAUAAAGCCAAAAUCCAUUUGCCGAUUCUCCCUUUCAAUAUCGGCAGUGACAGCAUGUAUUUCACUACAUCAUCUUUGCAUACGACUAUACAUUCUGCCGUCAGUAGAUAGUGUCUGAGCUUGGUGCACGAGAAGUAAAGACACAAACACAAACGCUCUACUGGAGGAUAUAUUGUUUCGGCAUCCAGGAGUCUUCUACUAACGUAAUAAAUUACCCGUUCUUUGCCUUCAAACUCUUGGACUAGAGCCGACCCAAUAGCUUUGUCAUCGGCUGACAAAUAUAGUUUAAACGGCUUACCCGUUUGAGGAGGAACCAGGACUGGGGGUGAGACCAGGUAUCGCUUGAUGUCUUCUAACGCUUUGCGUUGUUCUUCUCCCCAUAUAAAUUCCUGGUCUGGCUUCAACUUCAGAAGUGGUGUGAACGCCUGAAUCCGUCCAGAUAGAUUGGAUAUAAAUCUUCUGAUGAAGUUUACCUUGCCGAUUAGAGACUGUAGCUCAGUUUUGUUUUGUGGGGCGACGACUUUGUUGAUAGCCGCUAUGGUCUUCUGAUUGACUUCAAUGCCUCGUUCGUGCACCAUGAAUCCUAAGAACUGUCCGGCGGAGACGCCGAAAGCGCAUUUGUUGGGAUUCAUCUUAAGACCAUGUUUUUUGGUGCACUCUAGGACCCUUCGCAAAUCGGCUAGGUGUUCCUCGUGGCUUUUGGACUUGACCACAACGUCGUCGAUGUAGAUCUCCACCAGGAGGCCGAUGAGUUUAUGAAAAAUAUAGUUCAUGGCCCUCUGAUAUGUAGCACCAGCAUUUUUCAAACCGAAAGUCAUCACCACCCACUCGAAUAGACCAAGAUGGCCUGGACAUCUGAAAGCCGUUUUGGGUAUAUCCUCUUCGGCCAUAAGUAUUUGAUUGUACCCGGCGUUCCCAUCCAUGAAGCUAAUAAUUUUGUGCCCUGCGGCAGCGUCGAUCAGUACAUCGGCCGUAGGCAUGGGGUAGCCAUCCAUCGGUGUGGCCUGAUUAAGAUUUCUGAAAUCGACGCAAACGCGCAACUUCCCGUUUUUCUUAUACACCGGUACGAUAUUAGAAAUCCACUCGGCGUAACGACAUUGCCGAAUAAAUUUUGCUUCAAUUAACCGAGUUAUUUCGGCUUUUAUGUCCGGUAAAAUUUUAGGAUUGCAUCGUCGUGCGGGUUGUUGGUACGGCCGAUACCCUGGUUUUAUGGGUAGCCGAUGUUCAACGAUAGAUCGAUCUAAUCCGGGCAUCUCGUGAUACUCCCACGCAAAACAAUCCUUGAAUUCUCUUAAUAAAUUUGUCAAUUUACACUUGUACUCUGGAUCUAAAUUUGCACUAAUGAAAGUCGGCCUUGGUUUGGUCCCGUCACCUAAAUCUACCAUCUCUAAUGAAUCGGCCGACGUGAAUCCGUGUCCCAGCUUCCCGUCUUCUCUGGCGAACUGAUCCAUUUCCUGCGCUUCUUCGGAGCCGACUGCUCGGAUCGGCUGUAGGCCAAAAUCGGUGACCUUCAGGAAAUCGGUUUCCCACACCCUACCUGAUAUGCACCUGACAGUUUCGCAGCUCCAUUGUUGUGCGUCGGCUGCUGCGAUGCUGUAUGCAGAGUCGGCUUUGACCACUUCGAUGUUAUCGCCGAUCCAUUGUACAAGGCAUUGAUGCAUAGUUGAUGGGAUGCAGCAGUUUGCGUGUAUCCAGUCUCGACCAAGAAGCAUAUUAUAGGACCCUUUGCCAUUAAUGACGAAAAAUGUGGUAGGAAGGGUCUUACUGCCGAUGGUGAGGUCGACGCAGAGGGCACCGCGAGCGUUUGACACCUUGCCUUCGAAGUCCUUGAGCAUCAUGUCCAUCCUGGUCAGGUCGUCGUCGCUUUUUCCCAGCUUUCGGAGUACGGCAUAUGGCAUGAUGUUGACGGCAGCUCCUCCGUCGACCAUCAAUUUAGUGAGGGGGCGACCGUCAACAUGCCCUUUAAGGAACAACGCCUUCAUAUGUUGUCGUUCGUCAUCUUCGGGCUUUUCGAACGUGGCCAUCAUCGGUUCUAAAGCCAACCUUGCUGUUUGUUCCUCUAUUACCGACACAUCCUGUUGAUCGGCGGGGGUCAUGAACUCCAUCGGCAAUAUGAAAACCAUACCGAUUUCAGCUGCCGAUUCGUCGCCUGCCGACUCGUCGUUGCCUUUGUCGUUUCUUUUGGGGCGCCACACCCAAGGCCUUUCUUGCUUUUUGUCCAUCGUGCCCUCUUCUUCUUGCUGUUCCCAUUGGCGGAGGCGUUGGAUUCUCCGUUUUUGUGAUUUGGUUAAACCGUCGGGGCACCAUCUGGGGUUUAUUGGCCUCCCUUCUUUCCCGGCGCGUUCCCAUUCUGGUUCGCGUCCUAACGGGUUCUCGUCUGUUACCCGCGCAUUGGCCAUAUCUUCGAGCCGGCUGUGAACGCUGGCUUUGCUACUUGAUUGAUCGCGGUGAUCGGUCCUGCCCCCCUGCCUAUUAUGGCUUCUUCCUUCUGACCGAUCAUAUCGGUCGCUUCUGCCCCCCAGCCGAUCACGCAUGGAAGGGCGUUGAUCAUCUGAAUUUCGCCGAUUCCUGUUGAUCGGUUCUGGCCUUCCGUCUCUAGAGCGAGACCUUGUGAACGGCCGAUUGUUUCGAUAGGGGCCGUUGCACUCUGGGCAAGUAUCGGCUGAUGGAAGUCUGAGGUUAUUUUCCCAACAGUGGAUGAAGAAUGGGCAUCUCCAAUGCUCCUCGUGCCGACGUAUUGCUUCCUCUCGGGACCUCGAUCGUUCAUGUUGGCGCUGGUAUUUUUGGAGUAGGAACUGGGAAGUGAUGCGUGGUCCUUCUGGCUCACCGUCGUCGUCCUCCAUCCGUCGCUUCUCCUUGAUGUCUUCAGACGUGACUUGAUUCCUGGGAUCGACAGCGCCACUCUUUUUUGCCGAUUCGGACGUCAGCACUUUUGUUUGGAGGGGAUUCUUACCCGUAUCCGCCAUGUUGGUAGGAAAUGGAUGCUGAUCAAUCUUCAUUGGUUUGGCCGGUUUUGCCGGCACUUCAAACUUGAGUCUGCCCUGUUCAAUGGCCGACUGUAUUUGUUGUCUGAAGAUUUUGCAUUCAUUGGUAUCAUGCGACGUGGCAUUGUGCCAUUUGCAAUAUUUCAUCUUCUUCAACUGUUCGGCAGAGGGAAUCGUGUGGUAAGGUGAGAGUUUAAUCUGUCCUUCCUGGAGUAGAAGGUCAAAUAUUUUGUCAGCUUUAGUAGUAUCGAAACCGAAUGCUUCCGGCUCCUUUUUGCCGAAUGGGCAUGAUAUUGGCUUCUUUCCCUUAAUCCACUCUGCAAGUCCGAUUUCGGCGUCUUCUUCAUCCUCUACUUCUUCCAGGAAUGCUACUUUCUUCUGGAAAUUCCUCCUUGGGUCAAAUGGACGCACCUCCUGCCCGGACAAUCGGUGGACAAUCUGGCUCAGGCUCUCGAACUCUUGUGAAGCAUAUUUUUCUUUAAUAUGUGGCAGUAGGCCUUGGAAAGCUAUAUCGGCCAACUGCGCAUCAGUUAGAGCCAAGGAGUAGCACUUGUUCCUGAUUUCCCGAAACCUCUGUAUGUACGAGGGUAUCGGCUCAUCACUUUGUUGCCGGAUGCUAGUCAGAUCAGACAGCUUCAUUUCGUGGACUCCAGCAUAGAAGUACUUGUGAAAUUGCUUCUCUAGAUCGGCCCAUGUGAUAAUCGAGUUUGGUGGUAGAGUGGUGAACCAUUGGAAAGCCGAUCCAGACAAAGAUGACGAGAACAACCGUACCCGCAGGGCAUCUUGCGUAGCUGCUUCGCCGCAUUGGAUGAUGAAUCUAUUCACAUGUUCUACGGUAGAAGUAUCAUCCAUUCCGGAAAAUUUAGUGAAAUCCGGAACUUUGUACCGAUGGGGAAACGGCAACAAGUCAUAUGUAGAUGGGUAUGGUGUCCUGUAGGUAUAAGUUUGAACCUUCGGCUUCAAGCCGAAUUGUUCUUGCAUCACUUCCGCGAUUUGCGCCGCCCAAUCUGGUUGUUGCUGGGGAAUAGCUGGCGGCGGAAUCGGCACAUGUUGAUAAAUCGGAGGUUGAAUGAAAGGGGACUGGUGAAAAGGUGGUAUCUGAAUAUAAGCCGGCGGUGUAGUAAAGGACGGCUGCUUGUAGGCACCACUCGUUUCAUCAUAUAGCAUGAGUUCUGACGUCUUGUUGACCUCCGGAGCGGUAGGCUGGUAUGGUGGUAUGAUUGGCCGAGUGGCCGUUUGGGAAGGUGUCUGGAACGGAGGAUUUCCUUGACUAACCGAUUGAUUCAAACCGGUCGUGUUUAAGGGUGCCCCCCAGGGUAAAGGGAUAACUGGAGGGAGCGGUGCGGUGGACGGCUGGAUGGAGCCGUAUCCCAAAGGAGUUGAUGACGUAGAAGCACCAGAUCCUCCGACAGAGGAUUGGAUCGGUUGUGAAGUCUGAUAGGCCUGAUUUUGUGGAAUCGGCUGAAAAUACGUAGGCCCCCUGUACCCCUGCGGUAUACCUCCGGCAAAGGAGUUGACAACAGCAUUGUGCACCAUGUUUGAGAGUACCGGGGAUUGGUUGAUGAAAGCGUGAUGAAGAGAUUGCUGAAUCAUAUCGGACAUUUUGUCCGAAUCUUCUGAAAUCGUGAUCUGGCGGGGAGUAGGAAAAGGAGACUUUUUAAUAGUUUCCCCGCUCCUGGAACGACUGAAAGACUUCAAGCAAGUUCUCCGGACUUGCUCCAAGUAUUGAUUCAGAUCCUCUUUUUGGUCGUCCUUUAGAUCUGCUUCCGUCACUUCGAUGACGUUAUCUUCGGAGACUUCAGCAGCUUUCGACAUGACAGCGGUUGUGAUGGUCCCACCGGGCGUGCCAAAAGUGUGUUGGUGCUAGAAAUCGGUCAACCGGAUCCCAGCAGCCGACACACGACCCGGGAGAAUCUGCUUAGCUCCUGUUCGGGUGAAUGCCCUGGUGCGGUUCGCGCGGCGUGCCAGCCAAUCUGACCUGUUGAUUGGCAAGGAAAAACACGUGUCAAAUUCAGUAACUACGAUCGGCUAAGUUUCCGAUCGGGAAAGCUUAUCGGCAGAUCAACCGAUUUACUGUAGUAGAGAAAUCGGCUACAAGACAGCACGAUCCCCGUAGCCUUGUAGAUAGAAAAAUAUUAAAGUAAUCGGUACAAGGUACGUAGUAACAGCACUAGGAAAAGAUCUAAUCGGCAACAGAUGGAUCUAGUAACGGAAGGUAAUGAAAGCCGAUACUACCGAUUCCUAGCGGGAUAACUGGUGAUAAAAACUAGGAAAAUAGGCAAAAACCUAUGAAGCUAGUUAAUACCGAUAACUGAUGAAUAAAUCUAAACGAAACAACAGCGAUACGCCAGAAGUUAAAGCUUAGAAAUUACUCGAUAAACGGAACUGACAGAAUCGGCCGGAGAUCAAGAUGAUGCAGCCCUGCCAAUCCGCACGAACUCGUGAGAAGGAAAAAGUGAUGGCGAAGUCGCCUGCUCGAAAGUAAGUAUGAAGAAUAAAGUAACUUGUUGUAUUGAUUGAUUGUUGUUUACAGAUUUACAAAGGUAGCUAUUUAUAGCCCCGUACAAAUAAUCUUCUUUAACCGACUAGGACUCUAUCUCUAAUUCAAACAGAAAACAAAUAUCUACAAGCACAAUCCGUGCUAAACUAAUUACCCCACGCUUCGUGGGCUGAACUCCUCCUCAUCUUUCCACCUUCCCAAGCCCAUACAGGCCCACUUUAGUCCACUUUCCUGAUCGGCCGAUUUUUCAUCAGCGAAGGAUUGCCGAUUGGGAAUCUGACGUAUUCACUCUGAAGUGAAGUAAAAGCCACUUGACCGAUUCCGCACUGUAGCCCCUUUUGACCGAUUCCUAUCUGUAUUCUUUCGAUUUCUCUCUUCUUUGACGCCGAUUCUACUGAUGACGAAAUCCGGCGUCAACAGCUACAUCUAGCACUCGCAAGAGUUUAAAGCUUGGAUGCAAGACCCAACUCUGAAUAUCACAACUAUAGGCAACCAAUGACCUCACUUGUGCGAUGUUCAUGUGAUCGUCCUGCUGAGUUUGCUUCAUAAUUCUGUUCUGGAGAGCUAACCUGCGCACCCUGUUCUGAUGUGGCAAUGUUCCUUCAUCAUCAUUUGAUGAGAUAGUCACAAAGUUUUCUUCAUAUGACAAGGCACAUAUGAGAUCAAGAACCAUGUCAUGAACACGACAGCCAUAUACUAUGCCAUUCGCUUCUGACUCGAAUUGUGUUCAGUUAACCACCAUAUACCAAGUAAGCACUAAGCAUGAGUUACCCAACAUAAAGUAACCCGGUUUGGUCAAGGCAAAGGUAAUUCAAUCUAGGCGAACCUUAAUUGGGACCCAUCAACUUAAUCUUAACAUGUGCAUAGCAUAAAUGUUGAGUACGAGAAAGUAAAGGUGUAUAGGAUGAAAAGUAGUGAUCAAGGACACGACUUGCCUUCUUGGCCUUGCUCCUGCUGUUCGUACUCCUCGAAGGCUUGGUCUUCAACUCCCUCGAACUGCGGGACGUCUACACGCGUCACACGAGCACAUACAAGCAAACAUGGGCAAAAAGUAAGAAACAGUACACCAAUCACAAUUAAACAGAAAAAACAAUCUUGAAAAGUUGAUCUACGCUUUAAAACGAACAUGUGGAUAUAAAGAACGCGAAAAAUGGAGUUAAGAUGCAAAAGAUAUGAUUAAAACAAGAUCCAGGGGCUUUUCUGUGAGAAAAACAAAACUUUUAGGGCCAAACCGCGAAAACCGAGGGCUUAUACGUAAUUACGCGUAUAAACCGAAGGUCUAACACGCAAAAACUCCAAAACGGAUGGCGGGUUGAUUUUUAGAAAGAUUAAGGGUUAAACCGAAAAGUGCAAGGGCAGAUCUGUGAAUAUUUUUCAACGCGAUCUGGACCGCGGGUUGAUUUGCGGAAAAGGUGGGGGCUUAAGAGCAAAAGAGGCGCGGCGCGGCGCGGUUGACUGUUACGUGGUCGGAUUGACCCGCUACGAGCCGUCGGAUCUAGAUCCUACGGUCGCGGUCGUCGACGACUCGCGGCGGCGGCGGAAAAGGGCAGCCGGCGGCGGCGAGCGGCGACGAGGUCGCCGGAGUUGGCCGAAAAAGCGCUCCGGGGCUCAGUUUCGCGCGCGGAAUGCACGAGAAGAAAGAGGGGGACUUGGCGAGCUCGUUUUGGCGGUCCUUGACGACCGAGGCUCACCGGAAGCGACGCUUGACGGCGGGGAAGAGGCGGCGGCGCUGGAGCUUUGGGCGCUAGGGUUUCGGGUGCUGCGGGCGCUGGUGUUGUCGACUGAGAGGGGCGGAGGCUUAUAUAGGGGCGGCGCGCUUGGAGAUAGAGGCGGCUCGAGUUCAAACGCCCGACGGAUUUGGAGCGGGGGCGAGGCGGUUACGGAGCCGGCGGCGCGGCGGUUGCGGGAGGAGUCCCGACCGGAGGUGGGAGAAGAUGAGGGUCCCACCUGUCGGCGGACGCGGGUGGUAGGCGGGCUGGCGAUGCUGUUGGGCCAGCGCGCGUUCGCGGGUCACGGAAGAAGCGGCGAAGUGGCGGGCCGCAGGGGUGGAGGGAGCUGGGCCGGCAAAGGAGAAAUAGGAGGGGGCCGGCGGAGCUUCUGGCGGCUGGGCCGCGUGAGAAGGUGGAGCGGUGGUGCUGGGCCGAAAGAAGAAGGGGAAAGGGAAGGAAAGGAGGAUGUGGCCCAAGGAGAGAAGAAGAAAAGAAAAAGAAGAGGGAAAAAGGAUAAAAGGUUUUGGAAUUUGAAUUUAAACUUGAAAUUCAAAUUUUGGUUCAAACUCAAACAAUCAAGAAUUAUGCUCCAGCAUGAAUGCACAAUAAAUUCCUAUGAUGAGUUAAUUAAAUUAAAGAAAAUGAAAUUAAAUGCCUAGAAUUUAAAUGACAUCCUAAUUUAAGCAAAUUUUAAUGAAUUUGAUUUCUCUAAAAUUUUGGGUGUUACAUCAGCCUUAUCAAAAAAAUACCAAAUAGUCACGAAAGCUAACCUUCAAGGUGCAAUAUUACAAGGAAAAGUUAGCAUUUUUUAGGUGCACACCACAUCAUCCCUGAUACGCUGAUGUUCGUGUGUGGACUGAAUUAAUUAGUCAGCAUUAGGUGCACAUGAUUUGGAGUUACUUUAUGUUUUUUAAUAACACACGGGUAAUUUUACAACAGUGUAUACAGUAUCCAUGUGAAUAUGAGAGGAUGGGCUUGUCGCUUAAAAUGGCUGUCCUUUAAGACUUGACUCUCUUCAACGAGAUGAUCUAUAGGCCGAAGCAGCGCAAACUACAAGACGUUAGAUCAAAAACCAAUUGACUAGCCUGCACGUCAAAUUAAACUACGGUCCAAUCACUGAUGGGUUUGUCGCAAUUGCCUAUUUUUAUAUGUGUUCUCUCAAGCUCUGUCUGCCUUUACGAACAGAGCCAGCUCAUCUGAAUUCUACUGGAGCAAUGCCCCAAUCGAACUAGCAGAAUAUGCAUGACAGCAAGAUGUGGUAAAAAGCGAGAAAAACUUUACUGAAAAUACGAAACAAAACGAGCAGGACAGCAUAAUAUAUGUCCCAAAAGUUAUUUGCACGACGUACAUGACACAGCCAAAUGGAAGAAACCAACAAACUAGCAGCUCAGAUAUUAUUACAGGUCUGAAACUGCAGGAAACUGAAUUGCCUAGUAGAUCAACCCGGUACACAGUUACGCACCUCCAAACAUUAAUUAUCUAGAAUCAAUUGCCAUGGUUUGUGUCGUUGCUGAAUCAAUUGGUUUAUCUUGUGUAGACAGAUUACAGCAAAUCGACUUGCAAGGCAGGACUGGAUAUUUAGAAAACAGAAACAGAGUCGGACGGUGACUAGAAACAGAGUCCAUUCAGGUAAAGCUAUCGAUCAGGCCUAAUUCCACACCAGCAGACCCGUGCGGUCAACUAACUUUCCACUGUUCCAAAUCCGACAAUAACUUGCUAUGGUCUCAGCAAUGCGUAUGGGUAGUCCCUCCUCCUUUUUCUAGGCUUGGGAUGCUAUGUGAAAUUAAGUAUUACCUUAAAAUUGCAUAGGCAGAGUUCCCUACCCACCCACUCAAAAGAAACAAAAAUAUAGAUAUAAGAAUUUUAUUUUGUAGUUUUCCAGGUUUUGCUUUUUUUUCGGAUUUUUUUUGUUUUUUCUUAGCUAGGAAACAAUGAAAAUAUUGUGCACACGAUAUUUAAAAGAAUAAACAUGCACCACAAAUUCAGGCAUGUCAAACCAAACAUGUGCCAGGUAACAUGCACUGCUACCAUUCCAGGGUCCUGAAGUUAACUCCUCCCACCGAGCAACUCCUCCCACCGAGCAAGCCAAGCUUAACCUGCAUGAGGGCCGUCAAGGAAAAUAAAAAUUUGUUUAGUACAAGAGAACUUGCAUGCCGACAUUAAUAAGUCACUGGAAACGGACGGAACUCAGACACAAGAACGGAUAUAUGUACGUAUGUAAAUGUCAAAUGUAAUAUAUAAAAAAUACUACCAAACAAUAUAUAUAUAUAUAUAUAUAUAUAUAUAUAUAUAUAUAUAUAUAUAUAUAUAUAUAUAUAUAGCUUUUGGUAUUCAUCUAUACAUAUACAAACAUAGUGCAAACUAUGAAUCUAGAAAUACCAAAACGACAUACAAUUUGAAACGGAAGGUGUGUGUAUAUAUUACUAGAGGAGCCAUAAAUAAGGCAGAAUGCAUCGUGCUAGCGAACUGAGCAACAAUUGGACAUGCUAGUAAGUAGUAAGAGAUUUUGGGAUGGGCUAAUAGCGUGGAGAGAGUGCGCAUACAUGUGCAUGCAGAAGAGGCAAGACUGAUUUGCAUUGAACAGAUUCAACAGCCAGGUGUCGCGGGGUUGUCGCAUCCUGACUCCGUGACAGCAGCUUCAUCGCCAGCUGCUGAGGCCCCGCCAUUGUCGGAAACAUUAUCACCAUCAUCGGACUGGAAUUGGGAAGGAAUUUGACUAGUUAAAGAAAAGUCGAACUGCAUGUUGGAAGUUACCAUGCACGUACCAAAUAAUCGUCUUUGCGUCGUUUGAGUAUGAUUCUUGGACCGUUGGGAUGGAGUUGUGAUGUGUUCCUCAGCUCAGCCUCUACCUUCUCCACGUCAUCAAUAGAGGCACCCUCACAGUCGACAGCUAUUUUGACACUGCAAAAUGAAGGGAGGCACUCCAGCCCGAGAUCACCGCAGCUACCGUUUCCAUCCUUAUAUAAGGCCCUGACGGGAACAUCAAACCAAAGCUCUUGGAGGUUCGGCAUCACUGGCUGUUGUGCUAUUGAUCUGCUGCAUUCAUCCUUUGUUUUGGUACCAAAGGCUGUAGCACCCAUCCCAUUCCAGAUGCUAAAUGAAACACCAGUAGAGUACUCGUUGAGCACCAACUGGACCAUCCAACCAUACAACUUGCAACAUCUCAACUUCUUGAAGAAGCCAUCAACCACAGUAUUUAUAUUAGCUACAGUUGCCAUGCAAGCCAUCGACGGCCGACGCGUUGACAGAAUGAGGAAACGGAGCUCUGGCAAUGCACCCAGGGCUCUCAAACCUCGCUCGUCCAUAUGAUCCACUCUCAAGCACAAGUAGUGGAGGAUGGGGAGAUGCAUGGGACUAAUCCCUGAUGACAGCUGACGGAACGGUACAGAAGUUAACUCCAAAUGCUGGAGAUGCCCCGGAAACACCGCUCUGUCCCACUCCCUCAUUGCGGCUUCACCCUUAUAAUCCCUUAGUUCCAGAUGCUGGAGUUUGUGGAGAUUGCCUAGUGAAUGCACAAGAUCUGACUGCACUAUCCCUUUCAAGUGACCAACACUAAUGUUGAGCACCCUGAGUUCGCUCUGGUUGCCAACGUCCUUCAUAAAUUGCCGCUGGGACUCCUCAUCCAAGUUAUCAAUACGUAUACACAGGUACUCUAAUGACGUCACCUUCCUCAGGAUCGACCCAUCAGGCACGCACGUAGAGAAGUCGCCACGUAGGCAGACCAACUGCGUUAACUGGCAAAUGGCCGAUGGCAGUACCU
This 19080-nucleotide long non-coding RNA is filed under the name Setaria italica (foxtail millet). RNAcentral describes it as "long non-coding RNA (SITA_LNC006346)". The record is from RNAcentral. Lineage: Eukaryota; Viridiplantae; Streptophyta; Magnoliopsida; Poales; Poaceae.